GGGUGGGGAAGUAACUUAGGGAAACUUAAAGCUAAUACUGCAUAAUGCGAUAACUUCUUCGGAAGAUUUGUUAAGAUUUAUCGCCUGAAGAGCAGCCUGCGGCAGAUUAGCUAGUUGGUAAGGUAACGGCUUACCAAGGCUACGACGCGUAGCCGGACUGAGAGGUUGGCCGGCCACAUCGGGACUGAGACACUGCCCGG
RNAcentral lists this ribosomal RNA (200 nucleotides) under uncultured bacterium. RNAcentral describes it as "partial 16S ribosomal RNA". It matches the Rfam family "Bacterial small subunit ribosomal RNA", at positions 134 to 334 of the family's 1533-position model. The record is from RNAcentral.